UGGGGAAUAUUGGGCAAUGGGCGAAAGCCUGACCCAGCAACGCCGCGUGAAGGAAGAAGGCUUUCGGGUUGUAAACUUCUUUUACCAGGGACGAAGGACGUGACGGUACCUGGAGAAAAAGCUCCGGCUAACUACGUGCCAGCAGCCGCGGUAAUACGUAGGGAGCAAGCGUUGUCCGGAUUUACUGGGUGUAAAGGGCGUGUAGGCGGAGACGCAAGUCAGGAGUGAAAUCCCCGGGCUCAACCCGGGAACUGCUUUUGAAACUGCGUCCCUUGAGUAUCGGAGAGGCAGGCGGAAUUCCUA
This 303-nucleotide ribosomal RNA is filed under the name uncultured bacterium. RNAcentral's name for it is "bacterial SSU rRNA". It matches the Rfam family "Bacterial small subunit ribosomal RNA", at positions 355 to 672 of the family's 1533-position model. The record is from RNAcentral.